GGGGCAUGCUCAUGGGUUAAAUUCACUUGUUUGUUUUUCCUUUUUUGGGGGGCCGCAUUCGAGAGACUUGGAAGGUCCCUGGGCCAGGGAUUGAAUCAGCCACAGCUGAGGUAACACGGGACCCUUAACCCACUGCAGCACAGCGGGAACUCCCUGCUGCACGUCUCUGAGCCACACUGUCUUCCUUGAGGAGGCGCUGCUGAGGGUGACGGAGACCCCCCUACUGGAGGUGCCACUGAGGUGUGGCAGGGAGGGGGCAUCCAUCCGUCUGUCCCCAGGCCUCGGACCCUGGUGCCUGAGAGACACGGAUGCUGCAAGACUCCAUCUCCAGCACCACCACUGCUGCGCUCAGACCCUGGGGCUCUGUCAGGAGUCUGCCCUGCACGGCUUUUAUCAAAACAUCCAAAACUAGGCCAGAGACAAGGCCAGGGAACCUGCAGCCCUCGGGCCACUCCAGGCCGCCUACCAGGUUCCGGCAGAGCUGCCGGGCGGGAAGUGGACCCCGCGGGCACUUUCGAGCCUCUGCACCCCAGCGUCCCUUCUGCUGCCGAAAGAGUUCUCCACAGAGCGCUGCUGGAGUCCGGGAGCCUGGAGUCCGUGAACCUGGACGAGAAAACAGUCACAUCCAUAUCGGCACCAACUAAAUUCAGCAUCGCCCUGCCUUGUGAAUGUGAGCAGCAAAACCCAGUGAGGUCUGUGGUUUUGCCACCAAUGUUAUCAACCACAAACCCCACUGGGUUUCCGAGCGUCCUACCUUUAUUGCAGAAAUUUCAGGACGGCAUUUGGACUCAAAUCACGGUAGUUCUUAAAUCCGCUACUAGAUAUUCUUUUAAAUGUGCUAGGAAGAAGUAGGAGUUCCCCGGUGGCCUAGCUGGUUAGGAAUCCUGCAUUAUCACUGCUGUAGCUGGGUUAGAUUCCUGGCCUGGGAGUGUCUGCAGGCUGCUGGCCAAAAAAAAAAAAGAAGAAGAAGGAGAAAAGGAAGAGGAAGAGGAAGAAAAGAAGAAGAGGCAUGUAUAUUAAACAAUAGUUUGACAAAUUUCAGUGCAUUUGGCUUCCUUUAUAAUCCUACGUAUUUUGCUAUUUUGCAUUGUGCAUUUAAAAACAUGAUCCUGGAGUUCCCGUCGUGGCGCAGUGGUUGACGGGUCCGACUAGGAACCAUGAGGUUGCGGGUUCGGUCCCUGCCCUUGCUCAGUGGGUUGGCGAUCCGGCGUUGCCGUGAGCUGUGGUGUAGGUUGCAGACUCGGCUCAGAUCCCGCGUUGCUGUGGCUCUGGCGUAGGCCGGUGGCUACAGCUCCGAUUCGACCCCUGGCCUGGGAACCUCCAUGUGCCGCGGGAGCAGCCCAGGAGAUAGCAACAACAACAUGAUCCUG
This 1370-nucleotide long non-coding RNA is filed under the name Sus scrofa (pig). RNAcentral describes it as "lncRNA (ENSSSCG00060018418.1)". The record is from RNAcentral. Lineage: Eukaryota; Metazoa; Chordata; Mammalia; Artiodactyla; Suidae.